Molecule: ribosomal RNA, 393 nt
Filed under: uncultured bacterium
Lineage: Bacteria
Description: partial 16S ribosomal RNA
Rfam family: Bacterial small subunit ribosomal RNA
Source: RNAcentral
AUACGGAGGAUCCGAGCGUUAUCCGGAUUUAUUGGGUUUAAAGGGAGCGCAGGCGGAGAUGCAAGCGUGACGUCAAAUUUCGGGGCUCAACCCCGUCUCGCGUCGCGAACUGCGUCCCUUGGUUGCGGGAAGGGGAGGCGGAACUCGUGGUGUAGCGGUGAAAUGCAUAGAUAUCACGAAGAACUCCGAUCGCGAAGGCAGCCUUCCGGCCCGUCAACGACGCUCAUGCUCGAAGGUGCGGGUAUCAAACAGGAUUAGAUACCCUGGUAGUCCGCACAGUAAACGAUGGACACCCGCGGUUUGGCCUGUAUGGCUGAGCCGCCAAGCGAAAGCGUUAAGUGUCCCACCUGGGGAGUACGCCGGCAACGGUGAAACUUAAAUGAAUUGGCGGGG